CAGCCGCCGCGGUAAUACGAGGGGGGCAAGCGUUGUUCGGAAUUAUUGGGCGUGAAGGGUGCGUAGGCGGUUCAGCAAGUCUCGUGUGAAAUCUUCGGGCUCAACCCGAAGUCUGCACUGGAAACUACUGGGCUUGAGUAAUGGAGAGAAAAGUGGAAUUCCUAGUGUAGCGGUGAAAUGCGUAGAGAUUAGGAGGAACACCGGUGGCGAAGGCGGCUUUUUGGCCUGUAACUGACACUGAGGCGCGAAAGCGUGGGGAGCAAACAGGAUUAGAUACCCCAGUAGUCCCUGUCUCUUAUAC
This 301-nucleotide ribosomal RNA is filed under the name uncultured bacterium. Its description in RNAcentral is "partial 16S ribosomal RNA". It matches the Rfam family "Bacterial small subunit ribosomal RNA", at positions 509 to 807 of the family's 1533-position model. The record is from RNAcentral.